RNAcentral lists this ribosomal RNA (253 nucleotides) under uncultured bacterium. RNAcentral's name for it is "partial 16S ribosomal RNA". It matches the Rfam family "Bacterial small subunit ribosomal RNA", at positions 524 to 776 of the family's 1533-position model. The record is from RNAcentral.
UACGUAGGGGGCAAGCGUUGUCCGGAUUUACUGGGCGUAAAGAGCGUGUAGGCGGCCAAACAGGUCCGUUGUGAAAACUGGAGGCUCAACCUCGAGAUGUCGCCGGAAACCAGUCGGCUAGAGUCCGGAAGAGGAGAGUGGAAUUCCUGGUGUAGCGGUGAAAUGCGCAGAUAUCAGGAAGAACACCUAUGGCGAAAGCAGCUCUCUGGGACGGUACUGACGCUGAGACGCGAAAGCGUGGGGAGCGAACAGG